CGGCAGUACUCUCCUCUUGAAUUUUUGUGUGUGGAGCUUUUCUCUAAAAAGAGUCCUACAAAGAGACAAUCAGGCCGCAAGAAUCUUUUGACUCUGGAUGCUGCCAAGCACAGCUGCCUAAGCAAAAUAGCAAAUUUCCAUAUAGCAAUCCCAACUUGCAAGCCUAGAGCCUACGAUCAGUCUUGACUACCUUCAGGAUCAGAAGAAUGAAGUCAACCACGAAAUUAUCCUGCUUCUUGCAGCUCCUUGUCCUCUUUUUCCUCCGCCAAUCUUCGGUCUCAUCGCCAUUCACCACCGCUAAUUCAAGCUCUACAUUUCCCAGUGAAGCUCUCCCAACCAAAUCCGGCUACCUACCCAUCAACUCCAACACCAAUUCGGCCAUUUUCUACACCUUCUAUGAAGCACAAGACCCAUUCUUACCUCUCUCCCAAACCCCACUUCUCAUCUGGCUCCAGGGUGGCCCUGGUUGCUCCUCCAUGAUAGGCAACUUCCUUGAGCUAGGUCCGUAUCGUGUAGUUGAUACUCAGAGUGAAAACAUCCAACACCUUUCUCUUGAACGCAAUAUAGGCUCUUGGAACCGCAUUUUUGGCCUUAUUUUCCUUGAUAAUCCAAUUGGAGUUGGGUUUAGUAUCGCUGCUACACCCGAAGAGAUACCCAGAGAUCAACACACUGUUGCUAAGCAUCUCUUUGCUGCGAUCACUGGGUUUAUUGGUUUGGACCCAGAUUUCAAGAAUCGUCCACUUUAUAUCACUGGUGAGAGUUAUGCAGGUAAGUAUGUUCCUGCAAUUGGGUAUUACAUUUUGAAGCAGAAUAUGAGGUUGCCAGAGGCACAGCGAGUGAACUUGAAAGGUGUGGCUAUAGGUAAUGGGUUAACGGAUCCAGUGACGCAGGUGAAAACUCAUGCUGUCAAUGCAUAUUUUUCUGGUUUGAUCAAUGAGAGGCAAAAGGGUGAAUUGGAGGAAGCUCAACGAAAGGCAGUUGAGUUUGUUAAAAUGGGAAAUUGGAGUGAGGCAACAAAUGCAAGGCUUAAGACCUUGGAUUUGCUGCAAAACAUGACAGGGUUGGCCACCUUGUAUGAUUUCACCAGGAAAGUGCCUUAUAAGACAAGUUUAGUCACCAAAUUCUUGCAAUCAGUGGAGGUGAAGAAGAAAUUAGGUGCAAAAGAAUCUAUAGUUUUCGAUGAAUGCAGUGAUGUGGUGGGGAAUGCACUGCUAGAGGAUGUGAUGAAGAGUGUGAAGUAUAUGGUGGAAUUGUUGGUGAAGAAGAGCAAGGUAUUGUUGUAUCAAGGGCAUUUUGACUUGAGAGAUGGUGUGGUUUCCACUGAGGCUUGGGUGAAGACAAUGAAAUGGGAGGGAAUAGAGAGGUUUCUGAUGGCGGACAGAAAAGUGUGGAAGGUGAAUGGAGAGCUUGCUGGGUAUGUACAGAAAUGGGGAAGCUUGAGCCAUGCUGUGGUACUAGGAGCAGGUCAUCUUGUGCCUACUGAUCAGGCAUUAAAUUCUCAGGCCAUGAUAGAGGAUUGGGUUAUGGAUAAAGGUGUCUUUGCUUGCGGGAAAAAGGGGGUUCCGCAUCAGACUCCAUGGAGUCAUCCUGAAAUUUAUAGCCCUUGAUGUUGGUGGAUAGAUCUGAAAUUUUUAACUCAUGUUGAUGUGGUAUUUUUAAGUGAUAAAAGAUCUAAUGUCCUACUAGUAUAUUUCAUAAAUAAGACAACGCUGUGCUUGUUAUUUCAGCCAACUGUCCUUUGAUUCAUGUGAUCUGCGAGACAUUUUGCAAAAUAAUUUUUAGCAUUUACCAGCAAGGGUACCUGCCAAACUGGAGCUUGCAAAGCAAUUUCUUUUUCUGCAAACCAUUUGUUUUGCUCAAUCUCC
Molecule: unclassified non-coding RNA, 1865 nt
Filed under: Hevea brasiliensis (rubber tree)
Lineage: Eukaryota; Viridiplantae; Streptophyta; Magnoliopsida; Malpighiales; Euphorbiaceae
Source: RNAcentral